AUUGAACGCUGGCGGUAUGCUUAAGACAUGCAAGUCGUACGGGGGCCUUCGGGCUCCAGUGGCGGACGGGUGAGUAACACGUGGGAAUCUGCCUGUUAGUGGGGGACAGCCCAGCGAAAGCUGGAUUAAUACCGCAUACGCCCUACGGGGGAAAGCAGCAAUGCGCUAACAGAUGAGCCCGCGUAAGAUUAGCUUGUUGGUGGGGUAAAGGCCCACCAAGGCGACGAUCUUUAGCUGGUCUGAGAGGAUGGCCAGCCACAUCGGGACUGAGACACGGCCCGGACUCCUACGGGAGGCAGCAGUCGGGAAUAUUGGACAAUGGGCGCAAGCCUGAUCCAGCAAUACCGCGUGUGUGAAGAAGGCCCGCGGGUUGUAAAGCACUUUCAGUGGGGAAGAUAAUGACGUUACCCACAGAAGAAGCACCGGCUAACUCCGUG
RNAcentral lists this ribosomal RNA (437 nucleotides) under uncultured bacterium. RNAcentral's name for it is "bacterial SSU rRNA". It matches the Rfam family "Bacterial small subunit ribosomal RNA", at positions 30 to 507 of the family's 1533-position model. The record is from RNAcentral.